RNAcentral lists this long non-coding RNA (2500 nucleotides) under Olea europaea subsp. europaea. The record is from RNAcentral. Lineage: Eukaryota; Viridiplantae; Streptophyta; Magnoliopsida; Lamiales; Oleaceae.
AAAUAAGUAAAUCUUUUUUAUGAGAAAAAACAACUUAUUCCCAGCCAAACACAGUCAAACCAAACUAGUCGCGACAGAAACCAUUUAAGACCCCAAACGAAAAAGACUUCACUAAACAAAACUCAAAAAACUCUGAAUCCCUCCCUGUAAGAUCUCGUCUUCUUCAAUAAUCCGCUGACAAAGAACCAUAGAUUGGGCUAAACUAACCUACUCCACCACCUAGAACCACCGCCCGCCACCACCUAUAUGCUAAUUCCACCGUCACUUUCCGCGUCCCCGAUUGCAAAACGUCUCAUUUCAAUUAUUUCUUUCGAUUUUGGGGUUGAUGUUCUCCAUCUGUAAAUCCAAGAAGAAAAUGACCGCAGAAGUCAUUGAACACUCAACCAGACCAAAAUCAUCAUCACCGAGAAAAUCCAAGAAAUCCCAACAAUCUUCAAUAGAAAACUCAUCAACCAGCACCAACAAUUUCAUGAUCCCAAGCACAGCAUCCACCUCGAGCUUCUAUAAAGAUUCAUGGCAAUCCUCGUUAUCUAGCCGUACUUCUCUUUCAAGCCUCCGAGAAUCCGUCCUCGCAGAACAGCCCCACAUCUAUGAUUUUUCGGAAAUUUCCGCCGCAACUCGCAAUUUCUUACUAAAGCCGUCCACUUCAUCCUCCUCGUCCACUUCUUGGCGGUGCAGUGUGCGCAAUCAGGAUGUAAUUGUUUUCCAGCGGAAGUUCCGGCGCCAAUUGGACACCCAGCAGUUAAUAGGUCAUCUUUCUGUUAUUUGCAAGAGUCAUCACUCCAGUUUGGUGAGAUUAAAAGGGGUUUCAAUUUCCGGCAAUUAUAUAUACUUGGUUUAUGAUUAUAUUUCUGGGGCUAGUCUUGCUGAUUGUUUGAGAAAUGUGAAAAACCCAAAUUUUACUGUGUUGUCUAGCUGGAUCUCGCGUAUUCAGAUUGCUUCUGAUGUUGCUCAUGGCCUUGACUAUGUUCAUAAUUCGACUGGAUUGGGUUUUGAGUUUGUGCACAAUCAUAUAAAGAGUAGUAGUGUUAUUGUUACAGAGACGUCCUUAAAUGCGAAAAUAUGCCAUUUUGGUACUGCUGAGCUUUGUGGUGAAAUUGUGAGAGAGACUGGGAAGUUGAAAGAGCUGAAGAGAUCAGAUAGUAAGAUGAACAAGUUCGAGGGGACUAGGGGUUACAUGGCGCCAGAAUUUCAGAUAAGUGGGAUUGCAACGCAGAAAUGUGAUGUGUAUGCAUUUGGGGUUGUGGUUCUGGAGUUAUUGUCCGGGAUGGAGGCAUUGAGUUAUAGGGUUGAUGAGGAAACUGGAGCUUAUGUGAGGACAUCGGUGGUAGAGGUGGCUAGACAGGCGGCGGAGAGUGGUUAUGGAGGGAUAAGGAAGUGGGUCGACAGGAGGUUGAAGGACUCUUUCCCGGUGGAGGUGGUGGAGAAAUUGACGCGGCUGGCGCUGGAUUGUGUUGCGGAUGAUCCAGGAACCCGGCCAGAUAUGGGCCAGGUGGCUGGUCGAAUAUCACAAAUGUUUUUGGAAUCACAGAAAUGGGCUGAGAAGAUGGGCGUGCUUACAGAUUUAACGGUCUCUUUGGCACCCCGGUGACACCCAAUCGAAUGCUUUUGCAUUUCAUUCUUCUCCUUUUUUUGGCCUUUGGAUUUUGUAUGCAUGUACAUGUAUAGAUAUAGAUACACAUGUAGUUUACAAGAGCUUUCAUUCAUUUUCCAAGUUAUCAUUCUUUUCUCAAACAUCUAUGAAAAUUGAUUGUAUUAAAAUUUAACAAAACAUAUUAAUGAGAAGACAGCUUACAUGCUUUUGCUUUACCAUUGGUGAAGUCCUUUUGGUUCAAUACUAGUUUGAAGAUAUAUUAGUAUUCUGUUAAACAACUUCUUGGUCGUGUUUGAAUGUUUAAGGAAGAUAUGGUGAACGUUGAACUAUGCCCUCGAGGAUUUCUACUGGCCGAGCUAUGUUCAUGAAAGACCAAAUGGAAAGCAACUCUAAUACACACACUGUCAAAUUACCUGAGGUAAGUGAUGAUUCAAUGAACAUUUCUUCUGAAUUAUAAAUACCAUUUUAUGACCCCCUCUCCCACCCAUCCCCUCCCCUCUAUUUAUGUGUAAUGUUGGAAGAUUUAAGUUGAAAUCGGGUCUGGUGCAUUGAAUAACACAGAAACCAACUGCCUACAGGAUUUUACCCAACAUCAAAUGCAAGGUUAAAUAAGGUGGUAAAGAAAGAUUCAUUAUCUUGGGGAAUAUGGGUUUUGAAUUAGACGACCUAAAAUGGGGUGGUUUCAAAGGAGAGGCCGCCCUCCGGCGGGGAUGGGAAUACUGAUGGUUAGCAAAUAUGGUAAAAGAAAGUUAUUUUUUGACAUAUGUGAAUAACUUAUAUUUAUGAUGAUGUGUCGAUAACUUAUUUUCAUGGUGAUGUGAGUUUGUUGAAUGUACAUAUGAGAAAAGGUCAGGAGUUUGUAUUCAUAUUUGAGAGAAACAAAGGCAGGCAGUGUGUUCAAAGAAG